GCGAGAGUGGCGAAAUUGGUAGACGCGCUGGACUUAGAAUCCAGUGGCCGAGAGGUCGUGGGGGUUCGAGUCCCCCCUCUCGCA
Molecule: transfer RNA, 84 nt
Filed under: Deltaproteobacteria bacterium
Lineage: Bacteria; Pseudomonadati; Myxococcota; Myxococcia
Description: tRNA-Leu
Rfam family: tRNA
About the family: Transfer RNA (tRNA) molecules are approximately 80 nucleotides in length. Their secondary structure includes four short double-helical elements and three loops (D, anti-codon, and T loops).
Source: RNAcentral